RNAcentral lists this ribosomal RNA (456 nucleotides) under uncultured bacterium. RNAcentral's name for it is "partial 16S ribosomal RNA". It matches the Rfam family "Bacterial small subunit ribosomal RNA", at positions 339 to 795 of the family's 1533-position model. The record is from RNAcentral.
CUACGGGUGGCUGCAGUGAGGAAUAUUGCGCAAUGGGCGAAAGCCUGACGCAGCGAUGCCGCGUGAGUGAAGAAACCCUUAGGGGUGUAAAGCUCUUUUUUAUGGGACGAAUGCCCGUUUCGGCGGGAGCGACGGUACCAUGAGAAUAAGCACCGGCUAACUCCGUGCCAGCAGCCGCGGUAAUACGGAGGGUGCAAGCGUUGUCCGGAUUGACUGGGCGUAAAGGGCGUGUAGGCGGGAUGAUCAGUCGGAGGUGAAAUUUGCACAGCUCAACUGGCAAAGUGCCUUCGAUACUGUCAUCCUUGAGUGAAGGAGGGGGUAGUGGAAUUCCCGGUGUAGCGGUGGAAUGCGCAGAUAUCGGGAGGAACACCGGUGGCGAAGGCGGCUACCUGGCCUUACACUGACGCUGAUGCGCGAAAGCGUGGGGAGCAAACAGGAUUAGAUACCCUUGUAGUC